CACGCCGUAAACUAAUGCGCGUUAGGUGUACUGGUGACCACGAGUCACCGGGUGGCCGAAGGGAAACCGUGAAACGUGCCGCCUGGGAAGUACGGUCGCAAGGCUGAAACUUAAAGGAAUUGGCGGGGGGAGGCACCACAACGGGUGGAGCCUGCGGUUUAAUUGGACUCAACGCCGGAAAUCUCACCAGGGAAGACUGUUACAUGAAAGCCGAGAUGAAGACUCUGCUAGAUUUUCAGAGAGGUGGUGCAUGGCGUCAGUGACU
This 265-nucleotide ribosomal RNA is filed under the name uncultured archaeon. RNAcentral's name for it is "partial 16S ribosomal RNA". It matches the Rfam family "Archaeal small subunit ribosomal RNA", at positions 747 to 1008 of the family's 1478-position model. The record is from RNAcentral.